AUGCGCGGGACGGUAGACAUCUCUAGGCUAAACUUCGGGUUCCUCUCGCUGAUCCCUAAGGUGGCCGGGGCAGAUAACAUCCGCCAGUUCAGGCCGAUCGCGCUCAUCAACGUACCGUUCAAGAUAUGUUCUAAAGCCACUACCUCCCGCUUGGUCCCGAUUGCGCAUCGCACAAUCAGCCGCACCCAAACGGCUUUUAUACGCGGUCGAAACAUUCUAGAAGGCUCUCUUGCGCUCCAGGAGAUCAUCCACGAGCUCAAACGCACCAACGAACCGGCUAUUCUACUAAAACUUGACUUUGAAAAAGCUUACGAUCGCGUGCAUUGGAAUUUUUUGCGCCAGGUCCUUCUUAGCCGAGGCUUCUCGGCCAUGUGGGUGCACCGGAUUAUGCAGCUGGUCUCGGGUGGCCAGACUGCUAUUUCGAUAAACGGAGAAGUAGGGAAUUUCUUCAGGAACAAGCGGGGGCUGCGUCAGGGCGAUCCCAUCUCCCCGCUCCUGUUCAACUUCGUGGUAGACGCCCUUGUGGCAAUGCUGCGCAGGGCGACCGCGGCUGGCCAUAUCAAGGGUGUGGUUGGCCACCUUAUCCCAGGGGGGAUCUCCCACUUGCAGUACGCAGACGACACUCUGCUACUGUUCCAACCAGACGACCACGGCAUCGCUACGGUGAAGGCCCUGCUGUUAAGUUUUGAAGUGAUGUCCGGCCUAAAAAUAAACUUCCACAAGUGUGAAGUUCUGUCUAUGGGGAUUGACAGAGAGGAGGGGCUCCGUAUCGCAGACCUCCUCAAUUAUAAAGUGGGAAGAUUUCCCUUUACGUAUCUGGGGCUGCCUCUAGCGCCACGUAGAGUGACGAUAGACGAAUGGGCACCACUAACAGGGAAGGCGGGGAAGAAGGUGAGCCCGUGGCGUGGCAAAUUUAUGUCCUCCGCAGCCAGACUGGUUCUCACCAACUCGAGUCUUUCCUCGCUCCCCUUGUUUGCUAUGGGGAUGUUCCUAUUGGCAGAAGGGGUUCAUGCCAAGUUGGACACGCCGCGGGCACGAUUUUUUUGGGAGGGGUCGGACCUUAAGCGCAAAUACCACAUGGUAAAAUGGGCUGCGGUAUGUAGGCCCAAAUCCUUGGGAGGACUAGGGAUCACCAACACCAGACUACAGAACAUAGCGCUCAUGUGUAAAUGGAUCUGGAAACUCUCGCAAGGAGCGACUGGACUUUGGGCUGACAUCCUUCGGGCCAAGUACUUCCCCAACGGGAAUUUCUUUGAAGGGGAAGCAAGGGGCUCCCCCUUUUGGCAAGACCUACAGGCCAUCAGACCCGCUUUUGAUAAAGGUGCUAAGUUCCAAGUCGGUAAUGGUCGCUCCACCCGAUUUUGGCUAGAUUUCUGGGUGGGCACAGGCCCUCUUUGGGAAGUGUUCCCUGAGUUGUAUGCUCUAGCUGUGGCGCCGGACCAGCGAGUGGCAGAGGCAUUGGCUCAUCCCCUGGCCAUUGCCUUCCGCCGUAACCUGAACGAGCAGGAAGCAGCAAAGUGGGAGGCUUUGCUGCAACUCGUAGCCCCCGUGACGCUAACUGAGGAACGAGAUAGGGUUUCCUGGCACCUCAAUGCGUCCGGGAAGUUCUCCGUCAAGUCUUUGUACCACAAACUGUGCCAAGGGUCGGUACAGACAGUGGCUAAAGGACUUUGGCAAGCCCGCGUCCCUUUGAAAAUCAAAGUGUUCCUCUGGCAGCUGUUACGCGAUCGGCUUCCCACAUCUGUUAACAUUGCAAAGAGGAACGGCCCGGCCUCUGGGCCGUGUGCGCUGUGCGGGUCGCCACAGAACGCGAACCAUGUCUUUUUCCUUUGCCCGCUGGCGCGUUUUGCUUGGAGUGCAAUGCGUGAGGCGGCCGGGGUCUCGUGGGAUCCGCGCUCCUCGCACGAACUGGUGGCGCUCCUGGACUCGGUCCAGGGCCAGGGCAAGAGGGUGUUGUGGACUAGCAUUGGCGCGAUGCUUUGGUCCCUGUGGCUGACACGCAACAAAUUUACCAUCGAAGGACAGUUCCCAACGCACCCAGCUAAUAUUAUCUACAAAUGCUCUUUCCUCUUGCAGCAAUGGAGUCCGUUGGUGAAGCCGAAGGACGCUGAUCUCAUGAAGCACGCCCAAGUCCGUAUUCACCAGGUUUACGUCGCGGCUAGGGAGCCGGUGGUGCCAGCCUAA
RNAcentral lists this ribosomal RNA (2184 nucleotides) under Triticum aestivum (bread wheat). Its description in RNAcentral is "partial small subunit ribosomal RNA". The record is from RNAcentral. Lineage: Eukaryota; Viridiplantae; Streptophyta; Magnoliopsida; Poales; Poaceae.